RNAcentral lists this ribosomal RNA (482 nucleotides) under uncultured bacterium. RNAcentral describes it as "bacterial SSU rRNA". It matches the Rfam family "Bacterial small subunit ribosomal RNA", at positions 1035 to 1504 of the family's 1533-position model. The record is from RNAcentral.
CAGGNNCCUGGCAAGGCCUGUCGUCAAGCNUCGNGUCGUUAUGUUGGUUAAGNUCCCGNCANCGAGGGGCAAACCCUUGUCGUUAAAUGCCCAUCAUUUGGGUNGGGCACUUUUAACGAGACUGCCGGGUGCCAAACCGGAGGAAGGUGGGGAUGACGUCAAGUCCUCAUGGCCCUUAUGGGUAGGGCUUCACACGUCAUACAAUGGUCGGUACAGAGGGUUGCCAAGCCGCGAGGCGGAGCGAAUCUCNCAAAGCCGAUCGUAGUCCGGAUCGCAGUCUCGCAACUCGACUGCGUGAAGUCGGAAUCGCUAGUAAUCGCGGAUCAGCAUGUCGCGGUGAAUACGUUCCCGGGUCUUGUACACACCGCCCGUCACUACCAUGGGAGUGGGUUUCACCAGAAGAGGGUAGCCUAACCGCAAGGGGGGCGCUCUGCCACGGUGAGAUUCUAUGACUGGGGUGAAGUCGUAACAAGGUAGCCGUA